Molecule: ribosomal RNA, 381 nt
Filed under: uncultured bacterium
Lineage: Bacteria
Description: bacterial SSU rRNA
Rfam family: Bacterial small subunit ribosomal RNA
Source: RNAcentral
UACAGAGGAGCCAAGCGUUGUCCGGAUUGACUGGGCGUAAAGCGCACGCAGGCGGACGCGCGCGUGGGGUGUGAAAUCUGGCCGCUUAACGGCCAGGCGCCAUCCCAUACGGCGCGUCUGGAGUGAUGCAGAGGUCGAUGGAAUUGCCGGUGUAGUGGUGAAAUGCGUAGAGAUCGGCAGGAACACCCAGGGGGAAACCAGUCGACUGGGCAUCUACUGACGCUGAGGUGCGAGAGCGUGGGGAGCGAACCGGAUUAGAUACCCGGGUAGUCCACGCCGUAAACGAUGGCCACUCGGCCUUUGGUGGCGGAAUCUCCGUCGCUGGGGGCCUUAGCUAACGCGGGAAGUGGCCCGCCUGGGAACUACGAGCGCAAGCUUAAA